RNAcentral lists this ribosomal RNA (446 nucleotides) under uncultured bacterium. RNAcentral describes it as "bacterial SSU rRNA". It matches the Rfam family "Bacterial small subunit ribosomal RNA", at positions 329 to 792 of the family's 1533-position model. The record is from RNAcentral.
CUCCAGACUCCUACGGGAGGCAGCAGUGGGGAAUAUUGCACAAUGGGGGGAACCCUGAUGCAGCGACGCCGCGUGAGUGAAGAAGUAUUUCGGUAUGUAAAGCUCUAUCAGCAGGGAAGAAGAUGACGGUACCUGACCAAGAAGCCCCGGCUAACUACGUGCCAGCAGCCGCGGUAAUACGUAGGGGGCAAGCGUUAUCCGGAAUUACUGGGUGUAAAGGGAGCGUAGACGGUGAUGCAAGUCUGGAGUGAAAGGCGGGGGCCCAACCCCCGGACUGCUCUGGAAGCUGUGUAACUUGAGUGCAGGAGAGGUAAGCGGAAUUCCUAGUGUAGCGGUGAAAUGCGUAGAUAUUAGGAGGAACACCAGUGGCGAAGGCGGCUUGCUGGACUGUAACUGACACUGAGGCUCGAAAGCGUGGGGAGCAAACAGGAUUAGAUACCCCCGUA